RNAcentral lists this ribosomal RNA (253 nucleotides) under uncultured bacterium. RNAcentral's name for it is "partial 16S ribosomal RNA". It matches the Rfam family "Bacterial small subunit ribosomal RNA", at positions 524 to 776 of the family's 1533-position model. The record is from RNAcentral.
UACGUAGGGUGCGAGCGUUAAUCGGAAUUACUGGGCGUAAAGAGUACGCAGGCGGCUUUGCAAGACAGGUGUGAAAUCCCCGGGCCUAACCUGGGAACUGCAUUUGUGACUGCAUGGCUAGAGUUUGGCAGAGGGGGGUGGAAUUCCACGUGUAGCAGUGAAAUGCGUAGAUAUGUGGAGGAACACCGAUGGCGAAGGCAGCCCCCUGGGAUGUGACUGACGCUCAUGUACGAAAGCGUGGGGAGCAAACAGG